AAACUUGAGAGUUUGAUCAUGGCUCAGAACGUACGCUGGCGGCACGCCUAACACAUGCAAGUCGAACGAAGUAGCAAUACUUAGUGGCAGACGGGUGAGUAACAUGUAGGUAUCUGCCCUUUGGCCUGGAAUAACACGAGGAAACUUGUGCUAAUACCGGAUAAGUCUUUACGGAGAAAGCUUUAUGCACCAUUGGAUGAGCCUGCACUUGAUUAGUUUGUUGGUGGGGUAAUGGCCUACCAAGACUGUGAUCAAUAGCUGAUUUGAGAGGAUGAUCAGCCACAUUGGGACUGAGACACGGCCCAAACUCCUACGGGAGGCAGCAGUGGGGAAUCUUGCACAAUGGAGGAAACUCUGAUGCAGCGAUGCCGCGUGAGUGAAGAAGGCCCUUGGGUUGUAAAGCUCUUUCGUCGGGGAAGAAAAUGACUGUACCCGAAUAAGAAGGUCCGGCUAACUUCGUGCCAGCAGCCGCGGUAAUACGAAGGGACCUAGCGUAGUUCGGAAUUACUGGGCUUAAAGAGUUCGUAGGUGGUUGAAAAAGUUAGUGGUGAAAUCCCAGAGCUUAACUCUGGAACUGCCAUUAAAACUUUUCAGCUAGAGUAUGAUAGAGGAAAGCAGAAUUUCUAGUGUAGAGGUGAAAUUCGUAGAUAUUAGAAAGAAUACCAAUUGCGAAGGCAGCUUUCUGGAUCAUUACUGACACUGAGGAACGAAAGCAUGGGUAGCGAAGAGGAUUAGAUACCCUCGUAGUCCAUGCCGUAAACGAUGUGUGUUAGACGUUGGAAAUUUAUUUUCAGUGUCGCAGCGAAAGCGAUAAACACACCGCCUGGGGAGUACGACCGCAAGGUUAAAACUCAAAUGAAUUGACGGGGACCCGCACAAGUAGUGGAGCAUGUGGUUUAAUUCGAAGAUACGCGCAGAACCUUACCAACACUUGACAUGUUCGUCGCGACUCUAAGAGAUUAGAGUUUUCGGUUCGGCCGGACGAAACACAGGUGCUGCAUGGCUGUCGUCAGCUCGUGUCGUGAGAUGUUGGGUUAAGUCCCGCAACGAGCGCAACCCUCACUUUUAGUUGCCAUCAUUAAGUUGGGCACUCUGAAAGAACUGCCAGUGAUAAGCUGGAGGAAGGUGGGGAUGACGUCAAGUCCUCAUGGCCCUUACGUGUUGGGCUACACACGUGCUACAAUGGUAUCUACAACAGGAAGCAAGACUGCGAAGUUAAGCAAAUCCCUAGAAGAUACCUCAGUUCGGAUUGCACUCUGCAACUCGAGUGCAUGAAGCUGGAAUUACUAGUAAUCGUGGAUCAGCGUGCCACGGUGAAUGCGUUCCCGGGUCUUGUACACACCGCCCGUCACACCAUGGGAGUUGGUUCUACCUUAAGGCAAGGUUUCAAACCCUUGACCACGGUAUAGUCAGCGACUGGGGUGAAGUCGUAACAAGGUAGCCGUAGGGGAACCUGCGGCUGGAUUACCUCCUUU
This 1475-nucleotide ribosomal RNA is filed under the name Candidatus Pelagibacter sp. RNAcentral describes it as "bacterial SSU rRNA". It matches the Rfam family "Bacterial small subunit ribosomal RNA". Lineage: Bacteria; Pseudomonadati; Pseudomonadota; Alphaproteobacteria; Candidatus Pelagibacterales; Candidatus Pelagibacteraceae. The record is from RNAcentral.